RNAcentral lists this ribosomal RNA (497 nucleotides) under uncultured bacterium. RNAcentral's name for it is "partial 16S ribosomal RNA". It matches the Rfam family "Bacterial small subunit ribosomal RNA", at positions 28 to 507 of the family's 1533-position model. The record is from RNAcentral.
GACGAACGCUGGCGGCGUGCCUAAUACAUGCAAGUUGAGCGAUGAAGAUUGGUGCUUGCACCAAUUUGAAGAGCAGCGAACGGGUGAGUAACGCGUGGGGAAUCUGCCUUUGAGCGGGGGACAACAUUUGGAAACGAAUGCUAAUACCGCAUAACAACUUUAAACAUAAGUUUUAAGUUUGAAAGAUGCAAUUGCAUCACUCAAAGAUGAUCCCGCGUUGUAUUAGCUAGUUGGUGAGGUAAAGGCUCACCAAGGCGAUGAUACAUAGCCGACCUGAGAGGGUGAACCGCCACAUUGGGACUGAGACACGGCCCAAACUUCUACGGGAGGCAGCAGUAGGGAAUCUUCGGAAAUGGAAGAAAGUCUGACCGAGCAACGCCGCGGGAGUGAAGAAGGGUUUCGGAUAGUAAAACUCUGUUUGUAGAGAAGAACGGUGGUGAGAGUGGAAAGCUCAUCAAGUGACGGUAACUACCCAGAAAGGGACGGCUAACUACGUG